This 18-nucleotide non-coding RNA is filed under the name Arabidopsis thaliana (thale cress). Lineage: Eukaryota; Viridiplantae; Streptophyta; Magnoliopsida; Brassicales; Brassicaceae. The record is from RNAcentral. RNAcentral also lists the same sequence under 1 other name.
CUAGUAGCUGGUUCCCUC